Molecule: small nuclear RNA, 119 nt
Filed under: Anneissia japonica
Lineage: Eukaryota; Metazoa; Echinodermata; Crinoidea; Comatulida; Comatulidae
Description: U5 spliceosomal RNA
Rfam family: U5 spliceosomal RNA
About the family: U5 RNA is a component of both types of known spliceosome. The precise function of this molecule is unknown, though it is known that the 5' loop is required for splice site selection and p220 binding, and that both the 3' stem-loop and the Sm site are important for Sm protein binding and cap methylation.
Source: RNAcentral
UUACUCUUGUUUCUCUGUAUCACGCAUAAAUCUUUCGCCUUUUACUAAAGAUUUCCGUGCAGAGGAACACUGAUUGAGUUUAAACUCAAUUUUUCUCAGCUCUUGAGGAAAUCAAGGGU